GACGAACGCUGGCGGCGUGCUUAACACAUGCAAGUCGAACGGAAAGGCCCUGCUUUUGUGGGGUGCUCGAGUGGCGAACGGGUGAGUAACACGUGAGUAACCUGCCCUUGACUCUGGGAUAACUUCAGGAAACUGGGGCUAAUACCGGAUAGGAGCUCCUGCUGCAUGGUGGGGGUUGGAAAGUUUCGGCGGUUGGGGAUGGACUCGCGGCUUAUCAGCUUGUUGGUGGGGUAGUGGCUUACCAAGGCUUUGACGGGUAGCCGGCCUGAGAGGGUGACCGGCCACAUUGGGACUGAGAUACGGCCCAGACUCCUACGGGAGGCAGCAGUGGGGAAUAUUGCACAAUGGGCGGAAGCCUGAUGCAGCAACGCCGCGUGCGGGAUGACGGCCUUCGGGUUGUAAACCGCUUUCGCCUGUGACGAAGCGUGAGUGACGGUAAUGGGUAAAGAAGCACCGGCUAACUACGUGCCAGCAGCCGCGGUGAUACGUAGGGUGCGAGCGUUGUCCGGAUUUAUUGGGCGUAAAGGGCUCGUAGGUGGUUGAUCGCGUCGGAAGUGUAAUCUUGGGGCUUAACCCUGAGCGUGCUUUCGAUACGGGUUGACUUGAGGAAGGUAGGGGAGAAUGGAAUUCCUGGUGGAGCGGUGGAAUGCGCAGAUAUCAGGAGGAACACCAGUGGCGAAGGCGGUUCUCUGGGCCUUUCCUGACGCUGAGGAGCGAAAGCGUGGGGAGCGAACAGGCUUAGAUACCCUGGUAGUCCACGCUGUAAACGGUGGGUACUAGGUGUGGGGUCCAUUCCACGGGUUCCGUGCCGUAGCUAACGCUUUAAGUACCCCGCCUGGGGAGUACGGCCGCAGGGCUAAAACUCAAAGGAAUUGACGGGGCCCCGCACAAGCGGCGGAGCAUGCGGAUUAAUUCGAUGCAACGCGUAGAACCUUACCUGGGUUUGACAUGGAUCGGGAGUGCUCAGAGAUGGGUGUGCCUCUUUUGGGGUCGGUUCACAGGUGGUGCAUGCCUGUCGUCAGCUCGUGUCGUGAGAUGUUGGGUUAAGUCCCGCAACGAGCGCAACCCUUGUUCACUGUUGCCAGCACGUUAUGGUGGGGACUCAGUGGAGACCGCCGGGGUCAACUCGGAGGAAGGUGGGGAUGACGUCAAGUCAUCAUGCCCCUUAUGUCCAGGGCUUCACGCAUGCUACAAUGGCUGGUACAGAGAGUGGCGAGCCUGUGAGGGUGAGCGAAUCUCGGAAAGCCGGUCUCAGUUCGGAUUGGGGUCUGCAACUCGACCUCAUGAAGUCGGAGUCGCUAGUAAUCGCAGAUCAGCAACGCUGCGGUGAAUACGUUCCCGGGGCU
This 1346-nucleotide ribosomal RNA is filed under the name uncultured bacterium. Its description in RNAcentral is "partial 16S ribosomal RNA". It matches the Rfam family "Bacterial small subunit ribosomal RNA", at positions 28 to 1381 of the family's 1533-position model. The record is from RNAcentral.